RNAcentral lists this non-coding RNA (29 nucleotides) under Mus musculus (house mouse). The record is from RNAcentral. Lineage: Eukaryota; Metazoa; Chordata; Mammalia; Rodentia; Muridae.
UGGUUGCCAUCUACCCGAAAAUAACUGGU